GAAUUAUACCUAGUUAAAUAAAGAAAACAUAAGAUGUGAGCAAUGUAUUGUUCAAUUUCCUGCCUUGGUUUGCAGCCGGCUAGAAUAGCAGGGGUAACGAGUAGCAAAAGAGUAGGAAGAGAGCCUUUUUAGAGUUUAAAAAGUAGUAGUUUCUGAACUGUUAUUUGUGUCAGAAGUUAGAAUAAAAUGGAGUUUAUAUAGUAAUUGAGAGAUAAAAAAAUAAGGUAAGAGAUCAAUAAAGUAGCAAUUACGAAAAUACACUGAAUCAACCACACAUGCAAAUCAAUAAGUCUUCCUUUAAUAAAGGGAUAAUCAUUCGACGGUAAAAGCAGCACAAGUAAUUUAUGGAAAGAAAUCAAGUAAUGUAAUUGGGGGUGAAUGAACAAGGGUCUAACUAAGGAAAUAGUAAGCAGAAAUCAACAAAUAACAAAUAAGGCAAGUGGGAACUUAAUUAAGGCAAGAAUUUCAAUCAACCGAGUGGGGUAGUAAAAAUCAAGGACUUUGUUAGGGAAAUGGCUCAAUUCAGACUGAAAAUAAGAACUUCAAAACAAUCAAGGGUUUAACUAAGGAGAACAUCACGUAAAGAGUUAGAAAAUAAUGCAAACAACUUAAAUAAAUCAUUGAGGGAAUAAUCUGGGCUCAACACAUAGUUUUUAAAUGAAGAAAAUUAGUAAAUUAAAAUUCAAAACAACCCCCGACAUAAGGAGAAAAAUAUAGUCUUACUAUGAGUAGUCAUAAUGAACAUAUACAUAUAAAAUUAGUAGAAAAGUUUAACCAAGAACGUAUAAGAGGCAUAUUAGGAUAAGAAAAUUACGGGACAUCUAAAUGGCUAAAGAGAAAUCACAAGGACAAAGGCAAGAACAAAGACAAUACACAAGUAACUCGGAAGCCAAACAAAAGAGUCGAAGAAAAUUAGGUAGCUUAGUAUAAACGAGUUGAAAUUAGAGCAACAUUAUG
Molecule: long non-coding RNA, 957 nt
Filed under: Nicotiana benthamiana
Lineage: Eukaryota; Viridiplantae; Streptophyta; Magnoliopsida; Solanales; Solanaceae
Description: long non-coding RNA (NBEN_LNC003613)
Source: RNAcentral